RNAcentral lists this ribosomal RNA (500 nucleotides) under uncultured bacterium. RNAcentral describes it as "bacterial SSU rRNA". It matches the Rfam family "Bacterial small subunit ribosomal RNA", at positions 899 to 1397 of the family's 1533-position model. The record is from RNAcentral.
ACUCAAAGGAAUAGACGGGGGCCCGCACAAGCGGUGGAGCAUGUGGUUUAAUUCGAUGCAACGCGAAGAACCUUACCAAGGCUUGACAUGGGUAUGUCGUAUACAGAGAUGUAUAUUCCUCUUCGGAGGCAUACUACACAGGUGGUGCAUGGUUGUCGUCAGCUCGUGUCGUGAGAUGUUGGGUUAAGUCCCGCAACGAGCGCAACCCUUAUGUUUAGUAGCGACCAGGUAGAGCUGAGCACACUAGAGAGACUGCCGUGGAGAACACGGAGGAAGGUGGGGACGACGUCAAAUCAUCAUGCCCCUAAUGUCUUGGGCUACACACGUGCUACAAUGGGCGAGACAGCGUGAAGCAAAGGCGUGAGCCGGAGCGAAUCACGAAAAGCGCCCUCAGUUCGGAUUGCAGUCUGCAACUCGAGUGCAUGAAGUUGGAAUCGCUAGUAAUCGCGAAUCAGCAUGUCGCGGUGAAUACGUUCCCGGGCCUUGCACACACCGCCCGU